GGGGGUGUGGCUCAGGGGUAGAGCACUUGCCUAGCAUGUGAGAGGUGCUAGGUUCAAUCCUCAGCUCCA
This 69-nucleotide transfer RNA is filed under the name Ictidomys tridecemlineatus (thirteen-lined ground squirrel). Its description in RNAcentral is "Spermophilus tridecemlineatus (thirteen-lined ground squirrel) tRNA". It matches the Rfam family "tRNA". From Rfam's summary of the family: Transfer RNA (tRNA) molecules are approximately 80 nucleotides in length. Their secondary structure includes four short double-helical elements and three loops (D, anti-codon, and T loops). The record is from Rfam by way of RNAcentral. Lineage: Eukaryota; Metazoa; Chordata; Mammalia; Rodentia; Sciuridae.